GCGCGAUGCCGCGUGAGUGAAGAAGGCCUUUGGGUUGUAAAGCUCUUUUGUAGGGGAAAAAAUGAUGACCCUAAGAAUAAGGUCCGGCUAACUUCGUGCCAGCAGCCGCGGUAAUACGAAGGGACCUAGCGUAGUUCGGAAUUACUGGGCGUAAAGCGCGCGUAGGCCGUUGAGUUAGUUAAUUGUGAAAUCCCAAAGCUUAACUUUGGAACUGCAAUUAAAACUGCUCGACUAGAGUUUGAUAGAGGAAAGCGGAAUACAUAGUGUAGAGGUGAAAUUCGUAGAUAUUAUGUAGAACACCAGUUGCGAAGGCGGCUUUCUGGGUCAACACUGACGCUGAGGCGCGAAAGUAUGGGUAGCAAAGAGGAUUAGAUACCCUCGUAGUCCAUACCAUAAACGAUGAUUGCUAGAUGUUGGAAAUUUAUUUUCAGUAUCGCAGCUAACGCAUUAAGCAAUCCGCCUGGGGAGUACGACCGCAAGGUUAAAACCUCAAAUGAAUUGACGGGGACCCGCACAAGCGGUGGAGCAUGUGGUUUAAUUCGAAGAUAAGCGCAGAACCUUACCAACCCUUGACAUGUCUGUCGCGAGUUAGGAGACUAACUUUUCGGUUCGGCCGGACAAACCAGGGUUGGCUGGGUGUCGCAGCCGGUUCGAAGUUGGUUAGCCGCAGAGGACCCUAUUUGUGC
Molecule: ribosomal RNA, 686 nt
Filed under: uncultured bacterium
Lineage: Bacteria
Description: bacterial SSU rRNA
Rfam family: Bacterial small subunit ribosomal RNA
Source: RNAcentral